This 399-nucleotide ribosomal RNA is filed under the name uncultured bacterium. Its description in RNAcentral is "bacterial SSU rRNA". It matches the Rfam family "Bacterial small subunit ribosomal RNA", at positions 359 to 776 of the family's 1533-position model. The record is from RNAcentral.
UAAUAUUGCACAAUGGGCGAAAGCCUGAUGCAGCAACGCCGCGUGAGUGAUGAAGGCCUUCGGGUCGUAAAACUCUGUCCUCAAGGAAGAUAAUGACGGUACUUGAGGAGGAAGCCCCGGCUAACUACGUGCCAGCCGCCGCGGUAAUACGUAGGGGGCUCGGGUUAUCCGGAUUUACUGGGCGUAAAGGGUGCGUAGGUGGUUUCUUAAGUCAGGAGUGAAAGGCUACGGCUUAACCGUAGUAAGCUCUUGAAACUGGGAAACUUGAGUGCAGGAGAGGAAAGUGGAAUUCCUAGUGUAGCGGUGAAAUGCGUAGAUAUUAGGAGGAACACCAGUAGCGAAGGCGGCUUUCUGGACUGUAACUGACACUGAGGCACGAAAGCGUGGGGAGCAAACAGG